CUUUUGUUUUCYGCAACAUUUUUAUACCAAAUGCCCUCCUCUCCCUGCGAAGUCCUUCAGCAACUUUUGGACUUUUAAACCCGGCUUUCUUAUUAGAGACACUUGGAAAGAACACACAGCACUGCUUGUCCCCAAAGGGCUGGCGAAGGCAGUGAAGAGAACCCACGGAGACAGGGAGGUCCCCCCUGCCGCCUGGUCCUUCCACUGUCCCCAGCCCCUCUCUGAACUGAAGACCACAAACACCUGUGCACACAUUCCUCCUGGGACUGGGCCGAGAUCAUGUUGCUGAAAUGUGACGCUCUGCUCCCUCCUGCCAGCCAUGUGGCCACCCUGGCACCAGUGCCCACACAGUCACCCACCCGUGAGCUGCGAACAUCCGUCACCRUGACUUGCAGCUGCUUCUCCCCUCGGCACCUCUGGAGUCCAGGGCAGAGCCACACCGAGGUGUCCAGGCAAGCCCCCAAAAGAGGCACGAGCCUGCCCCACGGACCUUCUCUUUAUAAGAUAAGUACUUACUUCAAGCUUCCGGCUUCCUCUUUGGUAAAAGGAAUUGUAGAAGCGUGCCAGGCCCGAGCAGGACAAACAGUGAAUAAUCGCUUAGAAGAGAAGCCUGUUGAAAUGAGACUUUGCUGGGGACAAGGUCGGCUGGCAGGCUUGGCCUAUAAAUCACUAUGCUCUCCUUGGCGUAUUGGCUCUGCAGAGAUGAACUUGGCUGGACUCGGACGUUUCAUAGCUCCUACGACUGGGCUCUGCACACAGUAGGCUUUUGGCCAUUGUUUGGUGGACCGAAUAACUGAGAAGGCAGCUGGGCAGGUGAAGGGGACAAAGCUGUGUCCCCCCUCAAAUUGGAGAUUGGAUAUGUGAAGCCCAGGUAGGAUACAAGAGAGCAGCCUGGCCUGAGUAACCUCAGAGCUCACGCCUACCCAGCUGGCCCUGAUGCCAGCAGAUGGGCCUAAGGGCAGGCCACACCUGCGGCUUCAGCACACUGGGGAGCAGGCCUGGACUCUGAGAUCCUUUUGGGAAGGGGCAUCCAUUCUACCAGAGGUGUGUGACAUGGAUAAUAGAAAAGAAAAACUACCUGGAGACUUCYAAUGCAUGAACGUCUGUGUGGGAGCAAUCUGUCCUUCCAUGUGCAGGCUCUGACUUGCUCCAACCGCCUCUCUCUUUCCUGGCAUCCUUGCCCAACUCCCAGAAAGAAGUUUGAUUGCUCAGAUGGGAUGGAGAUUAUGGUUACCCAGAGCCAGGAUACCUCCUCCAGCCCCUGAACACCCAGCCAUUGCUUGGGUCUGCCAGCUCUGAAGUAAGAGAAUAAAUAUACAUCCCAGUCGUCUUGACUUCCAUCAAAAGGAGAAAGGCAUUUUCAAAGGAAUUUAAUAAACAUCAARUUGCCCCAGUUUGCCCACUUCCUGUGAGUGGUGGCCAGGGGCCCCACAAUUCCCUCCCAAUCAUCCCAUGGAAGGGAGUCAGAGGGCACGUUCAAUAUGCUACUCUCCAGCUACAAGAAACCCCACCACACUGGGCUGGAGUGAGCCUAUAGCAGCAAGAAAUGGAAUGGAAAGUGGGUAGCCAGGCAGGGUGUCAGUGAAUAUGUCCCCCAAAUCCAAAAAUAAUAAAACCUUGCGAAACCAUUUCCUUGGGCAGUUGCAGUAGAGGAAACCUCAUGCUGCAGGAGAGAAAAGGGCUUUGGGGGAACCCUGGUGUGACCUCCUCCUAAGUCUAAUGCAAUUCUCACAAGCACUAAAGGGAACAUGCUUGGUCGCAGGGACUUCUGUAGGCAUUCAGCCCAUUCAGUCUGAUUUUCAGGAUAAUUUCUCUCUGAGAGUUCUGUAUGCUCUGUCACUUUGAGCAAUAGAAAGGGACAAAAUGAAAGAUCUAGAGUCUUGGGAGGCACAGAGCAGGCUCAC
This is a non-coding RNA of Urocitellus parryii (Arctic ground squirrel), 1904 nucleotides long. The record is from RefSeq and is a predicted model, not a curated record. NCBI's taxonomy places the organism in Eukaryota, Metazoa, Chordata, Mammalia, Rodentia, Sciuridae.